Molecule: ribosomal RNA, 295 nt
Filed under: Acinetobacter baumannii
Lineage: Bacteria; Pseudomonadati; Pseudomonadota; Gammaproteobacteria; Moraxellales; Moraxellaceae
Description: partial 16S ribosomal RNA
Rfam family: Bacterial small subunit ribosomal RNA
Source: RNAcentral
GCGUAAAGCGUGCGUAGGCGGCUUAUUAAGUCGGAUGUGAAAUCCCCGAGCUUAACUUGGGAAUUGCAUUCGAUACUGGUGAGCUAGAGUAUGGGAGAGGAUGGUAGAAUUCCAGGUGUAGCGGUGAAAUGCGUAGAGAUCUGGAGGAAUACCGAUGGCGAAGGCAGCCAUCUGGCCUAAUACUGACGCUGAGGUACGAAAGCAUGGGGAGCAAACAGGAUUAGAUACCCUGGUAGUCCAUGCCGUAAACGAUGUCUACUAGCCGUUGGGGCCUUUGAGGCUUUAGUGGCGCAGC